CGUAGGUGGCAAGCGUUGUCCGGAUUUAUUGGGUUUAAAGGGUGCGUAGGCGGCUUUGUAAGUCAGUGGUGAAAUAUGGCAGCUCAACUGUCAGGGUGCCAUUGAUACUGCAGAGCUUGAGUACAGAUGAGGUAGGCGGAAUUGACGGUGUAGCGGUGAAAUGCUUAGAUAUCGUCAAGAACACCGAUAGCGAAGGCAGCCUACUAGGCUGUAACUGACGCUGAGGCACGAAAGUGUGGGGAUCAAACAGGAUUAGAUACCCUGGUAGUCCACACCGUAAACGUUGAUGACUCGCUGUUGGCGAUACACGGCCAGCGGCAGAGAGAAAUCGUUAAGUCAUCCACCUGGGGAGUACGCCGGCAACGGUG
Molecule: ribosomal RNA, 368 nt
Filed under: uncultured organism
Description: bacterial SSU rRNA
Rfam family: Bacterial small subunit ribosomal RNA
Source: RNAcentral